Molecule: long non-coding RNA, 1223 nt
Organism: Manis pentadactyla (Chinese pangolin)
Lineage: Eukaryota; Metazoa; Chordata; Mammalia; Pholidota; Manidae
Exons: 3
Source: RefSeq, a predicted model, not a curated record
GCUGACACACAGGAAACCCUGCUGACCGCGCAGAGCCUUUUGCUUCUAACCCUAGAGCCGACUGGUCGGAGACAAAAGUCUCUGGAGUCCUCAAGUACCACGCCAGAAAAUCCAACAAUUGCUGAGGAUGGACAGAUUAUUGAAAAAAUUCUAAUUGAGGGCCUCAGCAUAAAGAAAACAACUUCUGAUAAACAUAAAAUAUAAACUCACCCAACUUUAAAAGUAUGAGACGAUGGUACCCUGAUUUAGGAGACAAGGAAAUCCUUUGAGAGGGCCCCCUGAGUAUAACACCUAAGACUCUUCUGAGAUAACCUUGGUAGAGUGAGAAGACUCACCGAUUUCCCAAAAAGAAAAUAGGAAAAGGAACUAGGAGAAGAAAGAAGUUUAAGGAAUUCACAGCGGCUGUCCUCAGUGAAGUAGGAGGAGAGAGGGCUGAGGCGGCCUGGAAGUGGGAAAGGAGCACACUGAGGAAGAACGGAGGACUGUCCUGUUCUGCAGAGGACCCAGCUGCUCCUAGAAGUCACACACUUGUCAUGGAUCUGAUCAGUAGGCUUCCUAAAAUAUAUUUCAUUAAGAAUCACAGCAGGGAUGUAGGGCACGGAUUAAGAGACAGCUGGGUUGCUCCAAGGUUGGAAUGAGGGGAUGAGAGUAAGAGACCCUGGAGGCCCAAGAAAAGAGAGAGAGUAGAGGGGAAAAAGGAUAGGGAAAUGAAGAAGAGCGAGAGGGAGAGGGAGGAAGAAGAGUGACAUGCAGAAGGGGCACCACUAGGUGUCAGGGAAGAAGAGAAAGCAAGGUAGCUGGAACAAAGUAGAGACUUUUGGAAACCUCACUGAGCAUUGCUUUUCAAUUAUUUAGGUUUAAAUCAGGGUGGAUGUGGGUGAGGGGUCUGGGUGGUGGAGAGAUGACAUAGGCUAUAUGGUCCCAUGGUCAGAGUAAUGUCCCUACUGAGUACCUGCCCCUGGGCAGAUGACAUUGAUCUAAGUUCUCCAUCUGAGCCCUAUCAUUUGUAAGAAUCUGUAAAAUCCCAGGCCACCUACAUCUUCUUCCAUCCUUCAGAAAAUUUAUUGCUCCCAGAAGUUAAAAAUAUUCAAGGGAACUGCUUUCUGGUGUUCCGUCCUUAAAUAUUUACCUGCCUUUUCCCUAUCCAUAUGAAGACCAAGGCCCUAGUCUUGGGCACUUUAUAACAUUUUAAAAAGAACUUUCCUUAAAUCCAGAAUAAAUAU